CCUACGGGAGGCAGCAGUGGGGAAUCUUGCGCAAUGGGCGAAAGCCUGACGCAGCCAUGCCGCGUGAAUGAUGAAGGUCUUAGGAUUGUAAAAUUCUUUCACCGGGGACGAUAAUGACGGUACCCGGAGAAGAAGCCCCGGCUAACUUCGUGCCAGCAGCCGCGGUAAUACGAAGGGGGCUAGCGUUGCUCGGAAUUACUGGGCGUAAAGGGAGCGUAGGCGGAUAGUUUAGUCAGAGGUGAAAGCCCAGGGCUCAACCUUGGAAUUGCCUUUGAUACUGGCUAUCUUGAGUGUGGGAGAGGUAUGUGGAACUCCGAGUGUAGAGGUGAAAUUCGUAGAUAUUCGGAAGAACACCAGUGGCGAAGGCGACAUACUGGCCCAUUACUGACGCUGAGGCUCGAAAGCGUGGGGAGCAAACAGGAUUAGAUACCCUGGUAGUCCACGCUGUAAACGAUGAGUGCUAGUUGUCGGCAGCAUGCUGUCGGUGACGCGAGCUACGCAUAAGUCCGACCCCGCCCGUCGGGGAGGUACGGUCGGCGAAGAAUUAAAACUUAAAUUAGUAAGUUAGUACGGCGUGAGACGUGCCGAACGGACGACGACGAGGGGAGGUAGG
RNAcentral lists this ribosomal RNA (613 nucleotides) under uncultured bacterium. RNAcentral describes it as "bacterial SSU rRNA". The stretch from base 1 to 517 matches the Rfam family "Bacterial small subunit ribosomal RNA", at positions 338 to 873 of the family's 1533-position model. The record is from RNAcentral.